RNAcentral lists this transfer RNA (72 nucleotides) under Prasinoderma coloniale. RNAcentral describes it as "tRNA-His". It matches the Rfam family "tRNA". From Rfam's summary of the family: Transfer RNA (tRNA) molecules are approximately 80 nucleotides in length. Their secondary structure includes four short double-helical elements and three loops (D, anti-codon, and T loops). Further hydrogen bonds mediate the characteristic L-shaped molecular structure. tRNAs have two regions of fundamental functional importance: the anti-codon, which is responsible for specific mRNA codon recognition, and the 3' end, to which the tRNAs corresponding amino acid is attached (by aminoacyl-tRNA synthetases). tRNAs cope with the degeneracy of the genetic code in two manners: having more than one tRNA (with a specific anti-codon) for a particular amino acid; and 'wobble' base-pairing, i.e. permitting non-standard base-pairing at the 3rd anti-codon position. The record is from RNAcentral. Lineage: Eukaryota; Viridiplantae; Prasinodermophyta; Prasinodermophyceae; Prasinodermales; Prasinodermaceae.
GUGGGUAUAGCUCAGUGGUUAGAGCGUCUGUUUGUGGUAUAGAAAGCGCGGGUUCGAUUCCCGCUAUCCGCC